UAGGUGUCGGGGGGUUCGAAAUNUCGGUGCCGCAGUUAACACAUUAAGUAUUCCGCNUNGGGAGUACGGUCGCAAAGACUGAAACUCAAAGGAAUUGACGGGGACCCGCACAAGCAGCGGAGCAUGUGGUUUUAAUUCGAAGCAACGCGAAGAACCUUACCAAAUCUUGACAUCCUUUUGACCAUCAUUUAAUCAUGAUCUCUCUUCGGAGCAGAAGUGACAGGUGGUGCAUGGUUGUCGUCAGCUCGUGUCGUGAGAUGUUGGGUUAAGUCCCGCAACGAGCGCAACCCUUGUCUUUAGUUGUCAUCAGGUAAUGCUGGACCCUCUAAAGAGACUGCCGGUGAUAAACCGGAGGAAGGUGGGGAUGACGUCAAAUCAUCAUGCCCCUUAUGAUUUGGGCUACACACGUGCUACAAUGGUCGGUACAACAGGCAGCGAAAGGGUAACCUGGAGCGAAUCCUCUAAAGCCGAUCUCAGUUCGGAUUGUGGGCUGCAACUCGCCCACAUGAAGUUGGAGUUGCUAGUAAUCGUGAAUCAGAAUGUCGCGGUGAAUGCAUUCCCGGGUCUUGUACACACCGCCCGUCACACCAUGGAAGUUGGGGGCGCCCGAAGCCAGUGAUCCAACCGCAAGGAGGAAGCUGUCGAAGGUGAAACCAAUGACUAGGGUGAAGUCGUAACAAGGUAACCG
This 688-nucleotide ribosomal RNA is filed under the name uncultured bacterium. Its description in RNAcentral is "bacterial SSU rRNA". It matches the Rfam family "Bacterial small subunit ribosomal RNA", at positions 817 to 1502 of the family's 1533-position model. The record is from RNAcentral.